GUCAUUGGUAUACAAUCAACACCAAAGCUACAGGGUCCUUGGAGGGCAACUGGUUCAGCACUUCCUGAAGGGUGGUACACAGGGCCUGCCCCGACUUGUCCCAGACGGUGAUCUCUGCCACUGGUCAUCUUGUGUCUAAGCCCAGGAUUCCUUGAAAGCAGAUCCUGAGACAAAGACUGAUGGUCUCAAGGAUGGACACACAGCCAGUCAAACAAACCUCAACUUCCAACAUGACACGAUCCAGAAAUCAACAUCUGCAGCUGAGAUUCGGGGGUCAUUUGUCACUCGGCAAAGCUGUCUAAUACAGUUACUAGUAAGAGUACUAAAGACAUGGCCAGCUCAACUAUGGUGGGAGUGAUAUAUGCCAUUUCCAAGCUGGUGCCUUGGAGGGAUGGAUGCCUCGUCUACCUACCUGCUCUUCUUCUGCACUGGCUUGGCUGGAACCUGACAGUGGCCCAGAUUUGCCUGGACAGUUGAGGACUCUGCUGUAGGAGGUGAAGGGACCACAAGAUGGAAGGAACCUGGAUCCCUGAAUGACUUUGUGGAGCAAGAGUACCACUGAAUAGAAUGCU
This is a long non-coding RNA of Balaenoptera musculus (blue whale), 572 nucleotides long. RefSeq lists it as uncharacterized. The transcript has 4 exons. NCBI's taxonomy places the organism in Eukaryota, Metazoa, Chordata, Mammalia, Artiodactyla, Balaenopteridae. The record is from RefSeq and is a predicted model, not a curated record.